GUGGGGAAUUUUGGACAAUGGGCGCAAGCCUGAUCCAGCAAUGCCGCGUGCAGGAAGAAGGCCUUCGGGUUGUAAACUGCUUUUGUACGGAACGAAAAGGCUCUGGUUAAUACCUGGGGCUCAUGACGGUACCGUAAGAAUAAGCACCGGCUAACUACGUGCCAGCAGCCGCGGUAAUACGUAGGGUGCAAGCGUUAAUCGGAAUUACUGGGCGUAAAGCGUGCGCAGGCGGUGUUGUAAGACAGACGUGAAAUCCCCGGGCUCAACCUGGGAAUGGCGUUUGUGACUGUAAAGCUGGAGUGCGGCAGAGGGGGAUGGAAUUCCGCGUGUAGCAGUGAAAUGCGUAGAUAUGCGGAGGAACACCGAUGGCGAAGGCAAUCCCCUGGGCCUGCACUGACGCUCAUGCACGAAAGCGUGGGGAGCAAACAGGAUUAGAAACCCGUGUAGUCC
RNAcentral lists this ribosomal RNA (450 nucleotides) under uncultured bacterium. RNAcentral's name for it is "partial 16S ribosomal RNA". It matches the Rfam family "Bacterial small subunit ribosomal RNA", at positions 354 to 796 of the family's 1533-position model. The record is from RNAcentral.